RNAcentral lists this ribosomal RNA (482 nucleotides) under uncultured bacterium. Its description in RNAcentral is "partial 16S ribosomal RNA". It matches the Rfam family "Bacterial small subunit ribosomal RNA", at positions 28 to 523 of the family's 1533-position model. The record is from RNAcentral.
GACGAACGCUGGAGGCGUGCUUAACACAUGCAAGUCGAACGAUGAAAUGGAGCUUGCUCCAUGGAUUAGUGGCGAACGGGUGAGUAACACGUGAAUAACCUGCCCUUAAUUUUGGAAUAACCCAGGGAAACCUGGGCUAAUACCGGAUAAGUAAACCUGUGGCAUCACAUGGUUUUGGAAAGUUUUUCGAUUAAGGAUGGAUUCGCGGCCUAUCAGCUUGUUGGUGAGGUAAUGGCUCACCAAGGCGACGACGGGUAGCCGGCCUGAGAGGGUGAACGGCCACACUGGGACUGAGACACGGCCCAGACUCCUACGGGAGGCAGCAGUGGGGAAUAUUGCGCAAUGGACGAAAGUCUGACGCAGCGACGCCUCGUGAGGGACGAAGGUCUUCGGAUUGUAAACCUCUUUCAACAGGGACGGAGCGAAAGUGACGGUACCUGCAGAAGAAGCACCGGCUAACUAUGUGCCAGCCGCCGCCGUAA